GUGAGGAAUUUUCCGCAAUGGGCGAAAGUCUGACGGAGCAAUGCCGCGUGAAGGAUGAAGGCCUAUGGGUUGUAAACUUCUUUUCUCAGAAAAGAAUUAUGACGGUAUCUGAGGAAUAAGCAUCGACUAACUCUGUGCCAGCAGCCGCGGUAAGACAGAGGAUGCAAGCGUUAUCCGGAAUGAUUGGGCGUAAAGCGUCUGUAGGUUGUUUAAAAAGUAUUCUGUCAAAGAUUAGGGCUUAACCCUAGAUAGGCAGAAUAAACUUUUAAGCUAGAGUUUGGUAGAGGCAGAGGGAAUUCCCGGUGGAGCGGUGAAAUGCGUAGAUAUCGGGAGGAACACCAAAGGCGAAGGCACUCUGCUGGGCCAAUACUAACACUGAGAGACGAAAGCGAGGGGAGCAAAUGGGAUUAGAAACCCUGGUAGUCC
Molecule: ribosomal RNA, 426 nt
Filed under: uncultured bacterium
Lineage: Bacteria
Description: bacterial SSU rRNA
Rfam family: Bacterial small subunit ribosomal RNA
Source: RNAcentral